Long non-coding RNA from Gymnodraco acuticeps, 2351 nucleotides. RefSeq lists it as uncharacterized. The record is from RefSeq and is a predicted model, not a curated record. NCBI's taxonomy places the organism in Eukaryota, Metazoa, Chordata, Actinopteri, Perciformes, Bathydraconidae. The transcript is spliced from 2 exons.
AUUUUAACCAAGGGACUGCUGGCCAGGGAAAAGUCGAUAAAGCCAUUGCACGACGCUGCAAGAGGCCAGAACGAUGGAGGGAUGUGACCGGAGCUGCAUCGUGUGAGGCUCAUGUGAUUCCCCUUAACCUAAAUGCGGAUAUACAUCUUAAUUUGCGAAAAUGUAUUCUACUAUCUAAAAUGUUGAUUAUGGAUUAACAUGUUGUAAUUGAGGGGUUCAUUCAUUUUUAAAGUCCCCUUUCAGUCAAAAAUGUAUUUUUCUAAUUCUGACUUCACUUUGAUAUUCGACCGUCAGUGCAGAAUGAUGAAUGGGUUUGAAACUAGAAGGCUGUUUUCACAUUCUUCUGCUGAAGGGGAAAGGUCCUCUGUGCUCAACUCAAAUGUCAGACAUGUUUAACACGCUAUGCACCAACAUAACUCUGUGACAUCAUACAGAGUUUUGAUGUGUGAUGUGUAAACUUACAGUCUGUACACUUCAACUGCGAAUGGACUUUUCUGUAUAAUAAGUGAUGGCUUGUAUAGAAGUUUUCUUUUUUUAAUAGUUUUUUUUUCAGAAAUUCUAGAUUUUGGAACCUGUUAGUAAACUUUUAAGUAAACUCAUAGUCGACUUUAAACUGUAAAUGUUAGUAUGUCAUUGACAAAAUUGUCGAUCACUAGAAUAAGAACCCAAAUCUGGAACUGUUCAUGUUCAGUAGCUGUUAAUUAAUAGAUUGUGGCCCAGGUGCCCUGCAUCAAAAGUUUAUAAUCACAUAUCUGUCUUUACGACAAAGCAACCCAAACUAAAAUGAAUUCAUAACCAAGCUUUUAUUACAGCCUCUAAACUCUUUUUAAAAUAUGCCUUAUUAAAAAGGCAGCAACCAAAAGUCCAAUGAAAUCAGAAUACUGUAUAUCAAGCUCAUAUCACCUCUAAGUUGUUGUUUUUUGGAGAAUUUCUAUUGUAAAAAUAUUCAUGUUUUAUUUUACUAUACUUUCCUGCACAUUUUUACUUCAUUUGUGAUCUUCCUCCUGUCUGCUUUUCAUUUGAUAUGCCAAAACUUGAGUGGGUCAAUCAUCCUGAUAUGCAAGUUUACUUUGUCAUUUAAAUCUAACAAAAGAACAUUCUGGUGACCAUUGAGAGAAACACUUAAAAUCUUGGGUAACUGAAAUUAUGGCACAGAUGUCAGCCUACAAAAUCGGGCUUAUCUUCUGCUUGAAUGUGAAAUGUACCAUUAGGAAGGACAGUUCAUCUGUGGAGGUAUUGAGCCUUUGUUUACAGCUAUCAGUAAGACUUAGUAAAGACAAUGUGAUUACGGGUCCAUCCAUGCUGUGAAAAUGUUACUGACACUAAAAGAUACAAAGAUAACCUAUCAGUCCUGAUCUCAUUAUCAACUGUUAAAGUGUACUUAGAAGAUGCCUAAUGUGCCUUAACUGCAGUUGAAUGUAUUGAAUUACGAUGAUGGGGUAACAUUGGAAAUGUAGAAGAAAAAUGACCUAACAUCAUAUAAUCUACAACAUUGUUUUGUAAAUUAGCUAUAAGAAAAUGAAGAAAUGUUCAAAUCAAAAGUCACACUUUUUGAAACUUGGGAAAUUAUUGAAUUUGUAAAGUAACAUAUCAAAAAGAGUUUUCUCAAAGUGAAAAUUUCUACAGUCAGAAUUUGCAUCUAACACUUUCCCAGGCUGUAGCUACAGCCUUUAUUUGCCUAAUUUUCAUCACUAUAGAUAUUUAUGAGAAAAAAGACCCUCUAAUUGGCCAAACCACAGCCUGGGCUAUGUGCCCAAGAGGGCCCUCUCAAUUCAUCAGCUGUGAUAAAGGGAGACAAGCCAGGGCCUGUGUGGCUCCUGCACCUGGGGCAGCGGGCCGUUUUGAACCGGGUGGGAUUCUGUUUCCAUCAACAGGAUUAGGCUCUUAUGAGUCAGGUCUUGGGAGUUAAGAUUGGAAUCUGUUUGGGUUGUUUCACACUGGCUAAAGCGACAGAAUUUCACCCUAAUUGUUUACCAUGUCAGCCCCGGCAAUUCAGCGUCAAUUAAACAAAGCCCAGUAAACAGACACAUUCAACAGCAGCUCAGUGACAUAAUGUUUAAACAGAGAGGAGUUUGUGUUUGGUCCCGUUACCAAGCCACCUUGCUUUGUGGCAUCGCUUAUGUAUGAAACAGGGGUGCAAAGUCUUAAUUAUAGCAAAUAAAGGAUAGAAAACAGAAAACCGUAGACAAAGAUUCCUAUUAUGGAUCUAACGGGAGUGUUAAGAAAGGCUGUUUAGCAAUUUACAAGGAGGCUAAGAGUGAGAAAAGAGUUUAAAAAAUGUGAGACGUUGAGUGGAAGUAGUUCCAAUACACAAAAAAAUGAAGUAAUGAUUAAAAAAUAGACUGAGUUUA